RNAcentral lists this ribosomal RNA (439 nucleotides) under uncultured bacterium. RNAcentral's name for it is "partial 16S ribosomal RNA". It matches the Rfam family "Bacterial small subunit ribosomal RNA", at positions 339 to 795 of the family's 1533-position model. The record is from RNAcentral.
CUACGGGAGGCUGCAGUGGGGAAUAUUGCACAAUGGAGGAAACUCUGAUGCAGCAACGCCGCGUGGAGGAUGACACUUUUCGGAGGGUAAACUCCUUUUAUAUAGGAAGAAGAUGACGGUACUAUAUGAAUAAGCGCCGGCUAACUCCGUGCCAGCAGCCGCGGUAAUACGGAGGGCGCAAGCGUUACUCGGAAUCACUGGGCGUAAAGAGCGUGUAGGCGGAUUAAAAAGUCAGAAGUGAAAUCCUAUAGCUUAACUAUAGAACUGCUUCUGAAACUCUUAAUCUAGAAUAUGGGAGAGGUAGAUGGAAUUUUUGGUGUAGGGGUAAAAUCCGUAGAGAUCAGAAGGAAUACCGAUUGCGAAGGCGAUCUACUAGAACAUUAUUGACGCUGAGACGCGAAAGCGUGGGGAGCAAACAGGAUUAGAUACCCGCGUAGUC